GCGAACGCUGGCGGCAGGCCUAACACAUGCAAGUCGAGCGGCCGUAGCAAUACGGCAGCGGCAGACGGGAGAGUAACACGUGGGAACGUACCUUUCAGUUCGGAACAACCAAGGGAAACUUUGGCUAAUACCGAAUACGUCCGUAAGGAGAAAGAUUUAUCGCUGAAAGAUCGGCCCGCGUCUGAUUAGCUAGUUGGUGAGGUAACGGCUCACCAAGGCGACGAUCAGUAGCUGGUCUGAGAGGAUGAUCAGCCUCACUGGGACUGAGACACGGCCCAGACUCCUACGGGAGGCAGCAGUGGGGAAUAUUGGACAAUGGGCGCAAGCCUGAUCCAGCCAUGCCGCGUGGAUGAUGAAGGCCCUAGGGUUGUAAAGUCCUUUCGACGGGGAAGAUAAUGACGGUACCCGUAGAAGAAGCCCCGGCUAACUUCGU
This 433-nucleotide ribosomal RNA is filed under the name uncultured bacterium. Its description in RNAcentral is "bacterial SSU rRNA". It matches the Rfam family "Bacterial small subunit ribosomal RNA", at positions 29 to 506 of the family's 1533-position model. The record is from RNAcentral.